RNAcentral lists this ribosomal RNA (387 nucleotides) under Albinaria praeclara. RNAcentral's name for it is "partial 16S ribosomal RNA". Lineage: Eukaryota; Metazoa; Mollusca; Gastropoda; Stylommatophora; Clausiliidae. The record is from RNAcentral.
UUAUCUGCCCGGUGAAAGUUUUUAACGGCCGCAGUACCUUGACUGUGCAAAGGUAGCAUAAUCAUUUGACUUUUAAAUGGAGCCUAGAAUGAAAGAAAGAACGUAGACAAUUUGUCUUAUUAAUAAUAAUUUAAAAUUACUAUAUGAGUGAAAAUACUCAUAUAUUUAAAAAUAGACGAGAAGACCCUUAGAAUUUUAAAAAUAUAUAAAUAAAUUUUAUAAGCUUUUUUGUUGGGGCAACAAUAUUUCAUGUAAUAAAUAGUACGUUGAAUAAUAGAGCGAUUUAAAUAGUUAUAGUAAAAUUACCUAAGGGAUAACAGCAUAAUUUUAAUAAUAAGCUUGUGACCUCGAUGUUGGACUAGGUACUAUUAAGGCUAAUCGUUUUAA